GAAACAUCAAGAAACUAUCUGGACAGUUCAACCCUCAGACAUUAACUAAACAAUCCUCACAUAACAGCCACAGUGACCAAACAACAGGAAUGCCACACUUCCCAAACAACAGGAGUGCGCUCGACACCCGCAAGAUGCUCCAGGACCGCAGGAGACUGGCCCUAGCCCCCAUCCAUGUGACGGUCACACCGUUCCUCGCCACAGCCUUCCUACCCGAGUCCUAACACAAUAGGUAUCCGCAGCGUGUGAGAAGUCGCGGAAGAAGUGGCCUGAGAAUGAGGAGUUGCGGUCGCGACGGUCUUCAGUGGUGUCCCUGUCGCGGCGGUGCCUGUGAUCGUCAUCAGCUCGGACGCGGCGGUCAAAGAGGAUGAUCCUCGAGGCAUUGGCAUCAUGGAGUGCUCGCCUACGCAGUCCCGCGGUGCCACUAUGGUUGCCGGACGCGGCAUCUGGCGUAUCCAUGUAGGCACAGCGGGUCGAUAACUUGAUGACCGCCAUCGUGCACCAUGAGGUGGAGGGACUGAAGGUGCGGACCAGGAACAGGAGCAAGAUAUUCACGGUAAUGCAAGAGCUGCUCGUCCCAUCUUUGAAGAUUGCAGCCCCAUGUCAGAAUUUGAGUCAGUCGGGUCAGACAGUGACACUAGUGCUGCUCAGGUGCUGGACCGAGA
Molecule: long non-coding RNA, 665 nt
Filed under: Hordeum vulgare
Lineage: Eukaryota; Viridiplantae; Streptophyta; Magnoliopsida; Poales; Poaceae
Description: long non-coding RNA (HVUL_LNC017487)
Source: RNAcentral